Molecule: ribosomal RNA, 484 nt
Filed under: uncultured bacterium
Lineage: Bacteria
Description: partial 16S ribosomal RNA
Rfam family: Bacterial small subunit ribosomal RNA
Source: RNAcentral
AUUGAACGCUGGCGGCAGGCCUAACACAUGCAAGUCGAGCGGAUGAAGGGAGCUUGCUCCUGGAUUCAGCGGCGGACGGGUGAGUAAUGCCUAGGAAUCUGCCUGGUAGUGGGGGAUAACGUCCGGAAACGGGCGCUAAUACCGCAUACGUCCUGAGGGAGAAAGUGGGGGAUCUUCGGACCUCACGCUAUCAGAUGAGCCUAGGUCGGAUUAGCUAGUUGGUGGGGUAAAGGCCUACCAAGGCGACGAUCCGUAACUGGUCUGAGAGGAUGAUCAGUCACAUUGGAACUGAGACACGGUCCAGACUCCUACGGGAGGCAGCAGUGGGGAAUAUUGGACAAUGGGCGAAAGCCUGAUCCAGCCAUGCCGCGUGUGUGAAGAAGGUCUUCGGGUUGUAAAGCACUUUAAGUUGGGAGGAAGGGCAGUAAGUUAAUACCUUGCUGUUUUGACGUUACCAACAGAAUAAGCACCGGCUAACUUCGUG